Molecule: ribosomal RNA, 434 nt
Filed under: uncultured bacterium
Lineage: Bacteria
Description: partial 16S ribosomal RNA
Rfam family: Bacterial small subunit ribosomal RNA
Source: RNAcentral
AACGAACGCUGGCGGCAUGCCUAACACAUGCAAGUCGAACGAGACCUUCGGGUCUAGUGGCGCACGGGUGCGUAACGCGUGGGAACCUGCCCUUAGGUUCGGAAUAACUCCCCGAAAGGGGUGCUAAUACCGGAUAAUGUCUUCGGACCAAAGAUUUAUCGCCUUUGGAUGGGCCCGCGUUGGAUUAGCUAGUUGGUAGGGUAAAAGCCUACCAAGGCGACGAUCCAUAGCUGGUCUGAGAGGAUGAUCAGCCACACUGGGACUGAGGCACGGCCCAGACUCCUACGGGAGGCAGCAGUGGGGAAUAUUGGACAAUGGGCGAAAGCCUGAUCCAGCAAUGCCGCGUGAGUGAUGAAGGCCUUAGGGUUGUAAAGCUCUUUUACCCGGGAUGAUAAUGACAGUACCGGGAGAAUAAGCUCCGGCUAACUCCGUGC